AAUUCAAUAAGGAAGGCUUC
This 20-nucleotide unclassified non-coding RNA is filed under the name Mus musculus (house mouse). RNAcentral describes it as "oocyte_clustered_small_RNA8945". The record is from RNAcentral. Lineage: Eukaryota; Metazoa; Chordata; Mammalia; Rodentia; Muridae.